UACACAACAUGGGAUGUACAAAACCAAUUUGUACACGACAUAGAUGUACACAAUGGCAGUAGAAUAUGACUUUCAUAUCAUUAUACAAAGCUUAAUGAAGUUGAUUCUCAAAUGGCAGUAGAAUAUGACUUUCAUAUCUCUUUAACAUGUACAUGCGUACACUAACAUUUGUGUAUACAUCAUCGUGCUCACCCAAUGUACUCGUGUACACGAAACAAUGUACAUACACAAAACACAAAAUAGAUGUUUCGUUUAGAUCAAAACCGUAUGCAACCUGUAUGUAUUGAACUUCUUUCUUUCUCUCUGCUCCCAUUUCAUUCUCUCAAACAUUCCCAAGAUUCCCAGAUUUUAAAUUAUGUCUCUCGUUUGGGAAUCGGUCUGUCGCAAAAAACCUCCCAGCAAGAAGUUCUUUAAAAUUAUCAAGGCCAUGCGCCUCUUCGCCGCUCCCCCCCCCCCUCGAUAUCCUCCACCGCUUCACCACCUUCGGAAACACAAAGAUAUUUAUUUAGAAAGGGAAACAAAAUAAAAAAUCAAAGCAAUUAUCACCCUAAUCACCUACGUUCACUUUCAGCCGCAGACUCCGUCUCUUCCACAUCGUCGCCGGAAUCUUCAACGUACGCUGUUAAACUCUCCCACCGGCCAAAAUCGCCUCUUAUUCCUCUUAAACAGAGUUUUGAGAUUUAUUCUCGAUAACUUAUGUUUGUCAAAAGGUAAAGGUGACAAUAAUUAAUA
This 732-nucleotide long non-coding RNA is filed under the name Brassica napus (rape). RNAcentral's name for it is "long non-coding RNA (BNAP_LNC027065)". The record is from RNAcentral. Lineage: Eukaryota; Viridiplantae; Streptophyta; Magnoliopsida; Brassicales; Brassicaceae.